UUAGCCUUAGUGACAUUUUUGCUUAAUAUCUGCUCGCUUAUUCUUUUUAAUAGAACUCAUGAAAAGUACACAGAACUGGUUUAUUCUUUCCAAUUGAAACAUGGGUCCAGGACUACGUGGAAUAAGGUGAGAACUGGAUGAAGGGACACUGAAGAGGUGAGCUGGGAGAAGCCAGCUUGGGUAGUGACCAGUUACAGCUGGACUUGAGGGGUUGAAUUUUGAAGUUACCUGGCCAUCGAAGACCCAGACACCAUGACCAACAGUAGGGAGACUAAGGGGAAGGCUCCAGCCACAAGAGGGUUUUGGCUGGUCCCUCCGGAAAGGAAUUUGAUGUUGAAGAAUUUUUUCCCUCCACCUCCAGUAAUUUCCACAGCAAGACAGAUGACCCUGGGAGAGGACUGGUCUUGUGGUUAAGGAACCGGCCUAGGACUAAACCUGGGACCAAUUCCUGGCUUGGGCACAGCCUUCCUGUGUGAUCUCGGCCAAGUUGCUUCAUGCCUCUGUGCCUCGAUGCCCCCAUCUGUAAAUGGAGAUAACACGUCCUGAUCUCGGAGGAGUAUGUGAGGGUAGAUGCCCUUAAUAUUCAUGUGGCGCUCAGCUACCGCAGUCAGAAGAGGCCGUUGGCACCAGCAAUUUUAUUAAUAUUUUAUUUAUGGGACUGUAAUUAAUGUAAUUGAUCCAUAUUCAUUAAUGGACUGAUGAG
Molecule: long non-coding RNA, 703 nt
Organism: Trachemys scripta elegans
Lineage: Eukaryota; Metazoa; Chordata; Testudines; Emydidae
Exons: 3
Source: RefSeq, a predicted model, not a curated record